This 3676-nucleotide long non-coding RNA is filed under the name Bos grunniens (domestic yak). RNAcentral's name for it is "lncRNA (ENSBGRG00000005809.1)". The record is from RNAcentral. Lineage: Eukaryota; Metazoa; Chordata; Mammalia; Artiodactyla; Bovidae.
GGAGGAAAGGCUUGGUGGGAUAGCUUGCCCCCACCCCCCAACCGGAGCCUGGAAAGGGGAGGACAGGGGAGGCUGGAGAAGGCGAGCGAGGACGGGGUUAUUAGCGGGGCAGAGCGGGGCACCGGAGCUGACGCCCCCGAAAGGCAAGCGAGGGGGGUGGCGUCCCGGGGCGCCCGGGCGAGGAGCUGGCGCCCCGGGCCGCCGGGCCGCCGGGCCGGGCCGCCCCGCGCGGAGCCGGGUCUCUUACCUGCCGCCCGCUUGGGUGCCUGCUGCUUCCUCCUUGGCAUCGCUCUAGUUCGCUCCAGUCCCACUUCUGGCGCCCCAGCCCCGAGCCGCCGCGCGCGGGGGCCCGCUGUCUCGCUCGCCUCUCCGGGUCUCCUCCGCCUCCUGCCCGGUGGCUCCCAGGGCGUCACUCGGCCUCUGUCCCCCUGUCCCUGCAACUCCUCCACCGGGGGCCGGAGACCCCCCUCUCUGCGUGGCAGGCAAGACACGGGUGGCUGUGCCGGCUGGUUUGAAGUAGAGGUUGGUUCUGCCUUGUUUGUUUGUUUGUUUGGUUUUGGAUUUUUUGUUUUUGUUUUUUCUCCUCUCUCUUUUUGUUUUUGCUUUUUGGAAAUUUUUUUUUUUUUGGUUUGGUUUUUUUUUUGUUGGUUUUUUUUUUUGGUGACUGUUGAGACACUUGAUUUCUUUAUUAAACAUCCAAGAGCGGGUUCGGAUGGAAGGGACGAGGGACGCACACGCGCGCGUAAAGAUAAGGAAAAAAAAAAAAAACAACACACAAACAAUCCUGGGAAGGUAGUGGGGUCCUCUUUCGCUCCUUCCUUCUCCUCCUGGCCUCCUGCACCUCCACCUCCUCGUCUUCCUCUUCCUCGCCGGGCUCGAUGGCGGAUUCGCGCCGGGGGCAGAGAGAUCUCUCACUGUCGGGUUGUGGCUGCUGUCAGAUCCCCGUCUCUGAGUGAUAUGCGAGAGGACAGGAGCGGGUUUGGGAAAGACAGAAAAUCUGGAAUUCACUCGCACACACUCACACACGCACACUCACACACACACACACACACACACACACUCACACUCGCUCCCUCUCACACACACACACACACACUCACACCCCCCACAGAUGCACACACACACACACACACACACCACGCGCACGCACACACAUACACACACACUCUCACACACACACAAGACAGGGCGAGGCGAUGCCAGCAAACAUCGAUCCCGCUGAACAAACUGAACAUUAACAAACUCCUCCUCCUCUCCCCGCGACCUGAUGACAGGGAGAAAUUUACUCCCCAGCCGCAGAGCGCCAGGCAGAGGGAGUCUAUUAAAGGGACAGUGUCCCGCCGGGAGCGGGGCGGGGCGGGGACCCCGGCGUGCCGCCUGCCCUGCCGUGCGCCCCGCUCGCUGGCGCUGCGACGCGCCCCCCGGGCCGCGGGGACACCCCUCGGAGGAGCGCUGAGAAAGGACGCGCUGGGGGCAGGGGGAUGGAAGGAGGAGCCCCGGGCGCCAGGUCAGUGGGCAGACACGUGGACUCCUCUUUGGAUGUGGAUUCCCAGGGACCACUUGGCGUUCUUGGUACCAGGAAUCGGAACCACCAGUCUGGCUGUCACAGCCAAGUUUGGCCAGCCUGGCUUUAGCUCACUGGUGUUGAGACGGCAGAUUAGAUCCUGCCACUGAAUCCAAAUCAUUCAACAUCUGGGACAGCUGUUUUCCACCAAACAGAUUAAGUGCAGAGGAAAAGCUACUCUCUGCAGCGAUCAUAGUCCGGGUAGGGAAAGCAAGGUAGAAAUGAGAAGGAAGAAUUGAGAAAGAGAGAGAGAGGGAAUCAGACGGCUGUCUAGGUCUUGACUUCAGGCUCUUUUCCCAGAGCUGGCUGCAUCCUCGUUUCGUGUGUUCCCUGAGACACCCCCACCCUUAGAAAACGACCUGGACAUUUUGCACCAGCCAAAGAAGUUGCUUUCUGCCAUCCACACCCUAAAAGCGCAGAAUCAUAGGACGACCAAAUCUUGCUACUUCUCAGAACAAAAUUUAAAUUCUUUUUGAGGCAAUGUGGCUUACAAAUAACACAUAAAUGAUUUACUGGUCAAAAACAUGGUUGGCCAACUUCCUUGGAAAAAAGACAAGAAAUGGGCAGGGCUAUUUGUUCCUUGUUUCAGCAACAGGUGACAGUAAGGAUUUCUGAAUUGUCUCCCAGCUCUAAUUUCCUUAAAAAAUUUUUUUUUCCUUACAACUUAUAAUUGGUAAUUAAACAAAAAUAACAGUAGUGUUCAGGAAAAUGAGAGGAGGGAGAAAGUCAGAAUUCAGGAGGAAAACUAGUUGUAAGUCAAGAAGGUACAUGGCCAUUUUGAGGAGAAUAAGACACACUUCAGGAAACGUGUUCCCUUGGACAGGACACAGGACAGGUGCGUCCAGUGAUGGCCUGACCCAAAAGCUAAAGUGAGGGGGGAGCUGCGGAGGAGCAGGAGGAGAGGGCAUUCCAUGGUUACCAGGGAGAAACUUAACUCGCGUGAGCUUAAUAAAGCAGUUUCAAAAGGUUUCGGUUUUUUGUUUGCUUCCCACCUGGGUCUGGGCAGAGCGCAGCCAGUCACAUUUCAGGCUCGCUGGAUCCGGGAAGUUGAGUAACGCCACCAGGACUCAUUAUCUGUGCCUCUGAGUUCCACUUGUGUCUGCACUGGCUUCAUUCCCAAGCAGAUUAUUUUUUAAUAUAAGAUGCUGCCAGAUUUAACAACUAAGAAUAUAAGACACCUAGAUUCAUUUGAACUUCAGAUAAAUAAACGACAAAUAUAUUUUUUGAGAUUAAGUAUAUCCCAUGCAAUAUUUGGGAUACACUUACACUGUAAAGUUAUUCAUUAUUUGAAUUUUACGGGGGAAUCAGGUAUUUUACUGGGGCUUCCCAGGUGGUACUAGUGGUAAAGAAGCUGCCUGCUAGAGCUGGUGACAUAAGAGACCUGGGUUCUAUCCCUGGAUCGGGAGGAUCCCUUGGAGAAGCACGUGGUAACCCACUCCAGUAUUUUAUUGGCCCACCCUCCUCACAUGAGGUGGCAAAGAUGACUGCCAAUACUUCUAGACCUUAUAUUCUAUCUUCUAUUAUGUGUCCCAUUGGAACAAUCCAUGAACUGAUCACUGUGGCUUAAGAAAUGCAAUAAUCUGAUGAGCCAGAAGACAGAAAAGAUGUGGGAACAUAAUAGCUGUCCAUGAAAAAAAAAACAACACAGACUUACAAAUGGUUGGAGUGGAAUAUAGAAACAAUUUGAGUUCAAGCUCCUCAUUUAGCAGAUACAACAGUGAAGCCUGGAGGCGGCUUUACUUCCCCAGACAGCAGUCGUGGGGGAAUCCAGGCUGGAACAUCCGCCUGCCACCUCCUUACCACCCAGGCUCUUCCCACGCACCCUCGUGGCCACCGCCAUCCAGAUAUCUACUGGAUAAGUCGGUUAGCACCCACAAGGGCUUCCUCUCUCUCUUCUCUGUAUACAAAGUGAACAGGUAAAAAGGAAAUGCUUGUCAAAACAAAUCUCUAUUUGGUUUUCUCCAUCUACGGGACAAUUUCUGUAACGUGUCAAUCACUUUGUUGCAAAAUAGCCCUUCCAACGCACAAUCCACAUUUUCUGAUGACACCAGCCUGUCAGUCACUCACUACAUCAAAGCCAGAUUUCAUGCCAGCGAAGACCAGCUUGUCAAU